RNAcentral lists this ribosomal RNA (274 nucleotides) under uncultured bacterium. RNAcentral's name for it is "partial 16S ribosomal RNA". It matches the Rfam family "Bacterial small subunit ribosomal RNA", at positions 523 to 796 of the family's 1533-position model. The record is from RNAcentral.
AUACGGAGGGUGCAAGCGUUAAUCGGAAUUACUGGGCGUAAAGCGCGCGUAGGCGGUUAUUUAAGUCAGAUGUGAAAUCCCUGGGCUCAACCUAGGAACUGCAUCUGAUACUGGGUAACUAGAGUUUUGGAGGGGUAAGUGGAAUUUCCGGUGUAGCGGUGAAAUGCAUAGAGAUCGGAAGGAACACCAGUGGCGAAGGCGACUUACUGGCCAAAAACUGACGCUGAGGUGCGAAAGCGUGGGUAGCAAACAGGAUUAGAUACCCUAGUAGUCC